UCUUGAAUAGCUCAGUCGGUAGAACAUGAGACUCUUAGUCUCAUGGUCAUGGGUUCGAACCCUAUUUUGGGCA
Non-coding RNA from Podarcis lilfordi (Lilford's wall lizard), 73 nucleotides. The record is from the annotation of a GenBank genome assembly. Lineage: Eukaryota; Metazoa; Chordata; Lepidosauria; Squamata; Lacertidae.